CCUACGGGUGGCAGCAGUGAGGAAUAUUGGUCAAUGGACGAGAGUCUGAACCAGCCAAGUAGCGUGAAGGAAGACUGUCCUAUGGAUUGUAAACUUCUUUUGUAAGGGAGCAAAGUCAUCCACGUGUGGGAGUUUGAGAGUACCUGAAGAAAAAGCAUCGGCUAACUCCGUGCCAGCAGCCGCGGUAAUACGGAGGAUGCGAGCGUUAUCCGGAUUUAUUGGGUUUAAAGGGUGCGUAGGGGGGUUAUAAAGUCAGUGGUAAAAUCGUGGAGCUAAACUCCAUCCAGCCGUUGAAACUGGUGGUCUUGAGUGGGCGAGAAGUAUGCGGAAUGCGUGGUGUAGCGGUGAAAUGCUUAGAUAUCACGCAGAACUCCGAUUGCGAAGGCAGCAUACCGGCGCCCGACUGACGCUGAAGCACGAAAGCGUGGGUAUCGAACAGGAUUAGAUACCCUUGUAGUC
This 459-nucleotide ribosomal RNA is filed under the name uncultured bacterium. Its description in RNAcentral is "partial 16S ribosomal RNA". It matches the Rfam family "Bacterial small subunit ribosomal RNA", at positions 338 to 795 of the family's 1533-position model. The record is from RNAcentral.